ACGGUCACAUGACAUUGACACACCGGUUCCCGUACGAUCACCGAAGUUAAGCAACGUCGAAUUUGGUUAGUAACUAUAAUGGUGACCGUUUGGGAAUACCAGGUGCU
Molecule: non-coding RNA, 107 nt
Organism: Acanthosepion pharaonis
Lineage: Eukaryota; Metazoa; Mollusca; Cephalopoda; Sepiida; Sepiidae
Source: the annotation of a GenBank genome assembly